Molecule: ribosomal RNA, 252 nt
Filed under: uncultured bacterium
Lineage: Bacteria
Description: partial 16S ribosomal RNA
Rfam family: Bacterial small subunit ribosomal RNA
Source: RNAcentral
UACGUAGGGUGCGAGCGUUAAUCGGAAUUACUGGGCGUAAAGCGUGCGCAGGCGGUUUUGUAAGCCAGAUGUGAAAUCCCCGGGCUUAACCUGGGAAUGGCAUUUGGGACUGCAAGGCUCGAGUGCGGCAGAGGAGACUGGAAUUCCUGGUGUAGCAGUGAAAUGCGUAGAUAUCAGGAGGAACACCGAUGGCGAAGGCAGGUCUCUGGCCUGCACUGACGCUCAUGCACGAAAGCGUGGGGAGCAAACAGG